RNAcentral lists this long non-coding RNA (263 nucleotides) under Elaeis guineensis (African oil palm). RNAcentral's name for it is "long non-coding RNA (EGUI_LNC016597)". Lineage: Eukaryota; Viridiplantae; Streptophyta; Magnoliopsida; Arecales; Arecaceae. The record is from RNAcentral.
UCGUUGCUUGGAUUUUUCACAGCUACAUGACAUUAGAUUAUUAUGAGACAACUGGCUUCCAAGUUGCACUUGACAAACGUCGCGUAUCUGAACCACAUUAUGUGCAAAUUGUCACUAGCAACACGACGCUAUUACCUGAAUCACACGUAAUCAGAUUUUUAAGAAGCUGUCCACAUAAUUAUACCAUGCUUGAAAUUUUCCCGAAGAAAUAAUACCAUACUUGAAAUCAAAGAGGGUCCAUAAUUGGAUAGCAUUAAUUAAGG